UGGGGAAUAUUGCACAAUGGGCGCAAGCCUGAUGCAGCAACGCCGCGUGAACGAUGAAGGUCUUCGGAUCGUAAAGUUCUGUUGCAGGGGAAGAUAAUGACGGUACCCUGUGAGGAAGCCCCGGCUAACUACGUGCCAGCAGCCGCGGUAAUACGUAGGGGGCUAGCGUUAUCCGGAUUUACUGGGCGUAAAGGGUGCGUAGGUGGUCUUUCAAGUCGGUGGUUAAAGGCUACGGCUCAACCGUAGUUAGCCUCCGAAACUGGAAGACUUGAGAGCAGGAGAGGAAAGUGGAAUUCCCAGUGUAGCGGUGAAAUGCGUAGAUAUUGGGAGGAAAACCAGUAGAGAAGGCGGCUUUCUGGACUGCAACUGACACUGAGGCACGAAAGCGUGGGUAGCAAACAGG
This 403-nucleotide ribosomal RNA is filed under the name Verrucomicrobiota bacterium. RNAcentral's name for it is "Verrucomicrobia bacterium partial 16S ribosomal RNA". It matches the Rfam family "Bacterial small subunit ribosomal RNA", at positions 355 to 776 of the family's 1533-position model. Lineage: Bacteria; Pseudomonadati; Verrucomicrobiota. The record is from RNAcentral.